UUUGGUACACUUCUCUGUUGUCUUCCUGCAUCCUAAAAUCCACAGUCCUCUUUUCCCUAGGUUUCCAAUAACUUUCUCCUGUUUCUACAGUCUUCCUUCUAUUCCAUUUAAGAAAAUCGCCAGCCCUCUACAAACUGCAUAACAAAUGAUAAUGCACUGUUUUAUUGCACACUUAGCUGUAAGCACACUUGUUAAUUAUCCAAGUAGCGUUGUGAAUGAAGAUUUACACUUCACCUUGCCUCAGAUAUAUAGGUGCAUUAAGAAUAUUUGUAGUAUCUGUGACAGACAGAAAUGUCUCCAAGUUUUCUGAAAGAAGGGAGGAGAUCGAGUCUUGAUUUGGUCUUCAGUAGUCUCAAGAAUAUCUCCGUGGAAUAAAAGUAUUUUUUUCUCCUAGCUGAAGGACAGAGCUGCAUAGUUCACCAUGUCAAGCUCAUGUAUUUAUGGUUCAAAGGGCUCUCCUCACCCCCAGACUUGAAGCUUACAGAGGAAUCCAAGCUGUCGGGUGCCCAACUGAAUUUGCAAGUGCAUGCUGAGAGGCAGGCUUCGUGGGUGAGGGAAGGCAAGAAGUAGAUAGAAGAUUUGCAGCAGAUCGAUCUGGACAGCACAGACAUGUCAUUUGUCUUCCUGGAGCUCCUUGGAAAAGGGUCAAGGCACCUUCAAGGGCACUGCUGCUUACAAAGAAGAAGAUGAGGUCCUUGAUGCUAACCAGAAAGUGGCCCCCUGCUCCCCUGCUGCUGUGGGUAAUUCCAGCUAGCUUUUUCACCGUGCAGUGGUAUUAUUAGGAAGGAAGGAUCAGUAAAAAGGAAUCUGCAACCUGAUCUGGUGCUGAGGAAUGCCUUCUGAAUGUGUUAUUUGAAUUUAGUUAUUACUUCUGGGAGGUGUGAACAUUCUGCAUGGCUCUUCAUUCAAAACCUGAAAUUGACUGUGAAGAGUACUAAAAAAGUUAUGCAAGCCUUCAUGCAAUUAAGCAAAGUAGUUUCAAAAAGGUAAUUAUAUGCAGUACAUCAUGAUAGCCAAAAAAUACAUUAUGUGAUGGAUGUUCCUUGCAUUGCAUUACUUUUGAUGGUCCAUUUUCUGGAUUUUAAAAUUAUCAAUAAAUGUAUGUAUAUGUUUGGAUUUAGAUCCUGCACACUUAGUUGAUUUUUUGUUGUUGUUUUUAAACUACAUUUGCUCCCUCGUGGAUGUUGCUCCAUCUCCAUUUCUAAAAUGCUGAAUGGGCAGAUUGUUUCUAUCAAGUAUUUUACAUGAACUGUUAACGAAGUGUGAACAAUAGGGGACUGUCAACUAAAUGGUUCUCAGGAAUUGCAAAGUUAAGUGAUAUAGAAGCCCUACUCAAGGAAAUUCAGCUUUUUAUUGCACCUAGCAGGAGAUUUUAAGGAAUAUUACAAACUGACCAAUUGCAGGGAAGUAUGACAGAUGUCUGAGAGUAAAUGCUUAUAAGCCCCGCAUACUGUACUGAUGAACUGCUAUGCAAUUCCUUCUUUAACACGAACCUGAAUAGGAGAAAAUCUUACAUGGUGAAAUUUAUAAAUUUCUAAGAAAUUCAUUGGAGACCCUAUCCAGCAGGGGUCAGAAUGAAAAAGGGAAACAGUGGUACUUGCUGAGGCUGACAGCUAAAGGCACAGAUCUAUCAGUCACUCAGCGUCUGUUCAGCAUUCUUUUCAGCACAGAUCAUUUGGUUUUGAUUUUCCAAACAAGCGUAGUUACCUACAGUGCACACCCACCCAGUUGUUCAUGCUGUGUGUUUGAUUGUCACACAAUGCUCCUUUAGAGAACCUUCACCUUUGAUAUCAGUUCAGCAAGUAAAACAACACUGAUUGGAGUCAGCAUUGUCUAUCCCCACGGUUUUUCAGAGGAAAAGUUCAUUAGCUGCUUCACAUGCCAAGGGACCAGCUGUCCUGCAGCACAUGGAGCAGCUCUG
This is a long non-coding RNA of Gallus gallus (chicken), 1921 nucleotides long. Lineage: Eukaryota; Metazoa; Chordata; Aves; Galliformes; Phasianidae. The record is from Ensembl.